RNAcentral lists this long non-coding RNA (459 nucleotides) under Nicotiana benthamiana. RNAcentral's name for it is "long non-coding RNA (NBEN_LNC021782)". Lineage: Eukaryota; Viridiplantae; Streptophyta; Magnoliopsida; Solanales; Solanaceae. The record is from RNAcentral.
GUACACCUCAGAAACAAAGGAAAGGAAGGGAAAUAUCUCCAAAGAUCUGCUAGCCCGUGCGAAGGAGGAUAAAAAAGCAAGGACAAAAAUCAGAGGAGAUCAAGAUUGCUAAGAAUCCGGUUGACAUAUUUAUCAAAGCAGUGAAGAUCUGUUCAUUGAAAGAAGAUUUUUGAUAUCAAAGGAUAAAUUAAGUGUUAUUCGUUAAAAUAAGAAUUUGCUUAUUAUGGAAGGAUCUAUCAAGUCUGCCAGUAAAGAUACAAACCACGGAAGCUCCACAUUUAAUUCUUCGAAAGAAUCAUCUCACGAUUCAUUCAAGGGAUUAAUUCCUUUUGGUUUGCAAUCUUUCAAGAUCUUCCACAAUCAAGAAUAAAAGCAGAUCAUCGAGGUGUAUAUAUAGUGAAACAUCCUAGAAAAGAGACACACUUUAAUCAAACUCACUUCGUGCUCUAUUUUCUACUC